RNAcentral lists this long non-coding RNA (1544 nucleotides) under Gallus gallus (chicken). RNAcentral's name for it is "lncRNA (ENSGALG00010013726.1)". Lineage: Eukaryota; Metazoa; Chordata; Aves; Galliformes; Phasianidae. The record is from RNAcentral.
AGUUCACCUUAUUGUACUACAUCAGUUUGUCAGUAGCAACAAAUGCAUGACUAAAGUUGGGUACCUCAUCAGAUUAGAGAAGAGUGCUCAAGCAGAGAAUGAUGAAAUGUCUUAAAUGACAUUGUGUAUCACCGGACAGACCACGCACAGGACUCAACAUUAAUGGACAGUAUGCUCUUUCUGCCAUCAGGAAUGGCAUAACUCUCCAGAAGACAGGGCAUUGUGAACAUGAACAAGCUAAUCUGAUGUGACAGAUCUACAAAGGAGUUCAGCAAGAAGUCAAUGAAGAAAAAAGCCCGUUAUUAAAGAGAGAAGCUGACAAAAAAUAAAAAACAGAAAACAAAAAGCAAAGCACAACAAUAACAAAAAGCCAUUAUAUGAAACAACUCAUCUACUUGAGUGAGAUUUCUUUCAUGGAGCCUCUGAACAUUGCUUUUCCUGGUGUAAUAAAUUAGGUGUGUACUUAUUACUUGGAAGUGUUCCUUAUUCCUACGUUUCUUCUGAUAAAAGAAGAGAAACCUUAAAGAAACAGCUGCAAAUGGAAUAAAUUAGGAAUGAGUUUCAGAAAUUUCUGGAGUUGCCCUCAUGAACUAGAGUGGAAGUCCUAUUCCCAUUGUUUUAUUAAGGUAUGCAGGAAAACCACCUACGUUUAAUAAAGAAGACAUGGGAGUGCUAAAUUUGUCCCAGAUUUGAUUACAGAUCACCAUGAUAUUAAAUGUCAAAGGGACUUUGAUGAAAUUCUUUCAAAAGACUAUUGAGCAAUAUAUUUUUCUUCACAUUAGUGUAUACUUCUCUUUUACUAGGAAAUAUGUAUGUAUACCAUUGCUCUGAUUAUAUGCACGCAUAGAUGAACUCUUGUAUCUAUGCAUUUAUUUCCAGCAAAAUGUUCUAAAAUCUUUGUUUGACAGAAACCCUUAAAAUCCAUGAAUUUAUGUCAGUGUUAAUGUUGUAUGAGAACAACCCAUUGUUUGGCUACUAGCUUACGUAAGUUGUAGCUGUCCACAACUUUUUUGUGUGUUGUGGGUUGUUUCACUUUUAAACAAUAGCUCUGUGUCUAACAGUGUGUUCCUUAAGCUAGAACAUUGCUUUAUAGCCCUUGGAACCCGUCAGAUGUAUCUUAGUUCAGAAGUAUUUCAACAUUUUCUUGUGGUAGUGGAUAUACUAAGGAAUGGAAAAUGUAGAAACAUAACUUGUGCCAUCCUAUUUUGGAGUUCAAUUUCUUGCAGGCAGAAAGAGAACUUGUGACGAGCUGAUUUUUUGAAAAGUUGUUCACAAACAUUAAUCUUCUCAUUUAUGAGUGAAACUUCCAGCAAGAGGAAGAUAAUAUCUCCCUUAAUCAAAUUUGCAUAUGACUCAAUGUAUUAAAUGUGUAGAGUUAUUUAAAACGGACAAAAAUAUUUUUCAUGAGUUUCAUUUAUGAAUUACAGUCCUGAAAAUCAUGUUGGUGAUUACUAAGAGCAUAUUUACAGGAUUUACUAUAUGAAUGUAGGAAAAUAAAUAAGGUUUGUUGUAUGGUACAGAUAAAUAAAUAUAUUCUAAUAAGC